GGGAGGGAGCCAGAGCCGAAGCCGAGCCGGGCCCCGCGAAAGCAACAGCAGAGCCAGCUCCUCCUUCUCCUCCUCCUCGGCAGCUAUGACUAACUCAUGUGGGCUGGAUCAGGAUGAUCUUGUGAUUUGAACCGUCGGUGAAAAGAACGUAGUGUGUGUCUAGCUUUGGCCUGUGUGCAAAUCUGAAUUGUCCCCUUUACCUGCGCAAGAGUGCUACAGAAGUGCACAGAGCAUACGUUUUAUACAUGGCAAUGUAUUGGAAUGAGAAAAAAGGGCGGAUUUGAAUUUCUGGAUUUCCUCAUGUGUGGAUGCAUAGAACUACAUUAUUCUGUUGAUGCUCAGUAUAUAUUUUCACUGUUCCCAAUCCAGAUUACACUGAGGAGGUGCCAGCAUUAUUAAUGUUGACAUUAUCAGUACUACUCCACACAGCAUUGCAAACCCUGAAUGCUUUUGCUUCCGUGAAGCAUCCCUUUCUUCCCUUUUCUUCACCACCAAUUGCUGCUGGAGCAGCAGCAUAGAGGAAGGAAUUGUGUUUGUCCUCUUCUUGGUCAUCCCACUCCUAUGCCUUCUUAAGAAAAUCCUGGAGCACGGUGGAGCAGAACUACAGCAUAUGUGGGGCUAUUUGGAGCCUGCAAAUCUCACUGUGGGACUGGGCAAGGAAAAGGACUGUGACAGGAAGCUAUGUAAAUUGGCCAAAUCAUGAGGACUUGCUAGUUCCAGUGUCAAGUCAGUGGCUCCAAAGACUACAAAUACCAACUGAAAACAGCAUUGCAGCAGCAAAGAUAAGUGACUCUAAUACUUUAAGAAAAAUAGGACAUAGAUAACUUUUUUGAAUGCCAAGGAAAAGAUCUUAAUGGUAGAACCAGAAAAAAACCAUCUUGUCCUCUUUCACCAAUAAAUUUUGUUUUGAAAUAUUUAUCUUUUCCUGAACUGCACACUAAUGUACAAGCUUCAAAAUCACACUGGUGAUUAGAUAGGCAUUAUUUAGAUAUUUCAUAGUCAUUUUACCAUUUGAUUUUUGUGGAUGAUCUUUCAUGUUAGCAGUAAAACAAUAUCUUAACUUUGUCUCUUUCAGUUACAUCAGUUUAGGUUUUGACCUAAUUUUAGUAUUGAACAGCUUCCAAAACUAAAAUUGCUGGGAGAAAUAAAGCUUUAUUUUUCAUUUCCCCCCCCCCCCCCAAACUGUUUCUGCAUUUUUCUUCCUCCUCUGUACAUCCUACUCACCAAGAGCCCAAAACUAAUAAAAGACCUUAUUUUUUCAGUUGACUGCAUAAAUGUAAAUGGGAAUUUAUGAGAAACAGUGCUAAAGGCAUUAUAGUAUAUCAGCGCUUAAGAAAUUUCUGAGCCACUAUUUACAUAGCAUCCUUGUUCUCCUAAAUGCAAAUGUAUAGAAUAUUUCAAUUUUUUUUUUUUUCAGGAUUUCGCUGGCCAAAUUUGACCAAACAUGUCUGGUCUGUUGUGUUUUGCGAUGAUGUUCUAAUCUGAACCUGAAGUUUUCACACAGAAAAAUCAGAUGAGGACACAGAAGAAUUCACUGGGCCAUCAGUGCAGCCCAGUUGCAAUGUAUAGGGGUAGUGGUGCAGUGACUGGUUUCACCCUUCUCUGGAUACCAGCUGUGGUAUUGGCUUCAGGGAACCAACACAAGCACUUGAACUGUCCCUGGUACUUCAGGUUCGGCCUGAACGCCUCCAUAGGAAGACUCUCAAUCAGGUUUUUCAGACACGCCCACAAUCCACAGCCCCUUCUGUUUCAUGAGCACUCUGAAAAUCAAGACACAAGACAAACAACCCCUUUGAACAAAGCUUUCUGAAGCAUCAUUCCAGCUAUAAAGGGAUGGAGAAGAAAGACCUUGAUCUUUGACUGCAUGGUAAGAGAUGCACCAAACUCCACGCAGGAGUGAAAUCCUGCUGGGAUCACCACUGGAAUUCAGCCUCUAGGAAGAUUGCAUGGUGCUCUGCAUGUAGCAGCAACCCUCAGAUCAGUGCAGUUUGAUGUCCCUAACCAAGGCUGAUUUCAAGAGGUGCCUCCACACAUGAGGAUGUGUCCUGAGUACACCCUGUCCUUCCCAGCCAGGGGGUCUGCAGGUGCCCUCUGCGGGACUGUCUCAUUAAUUCAAGUAAUUAUCCAGAGCUGUGACUGAAUCUGCUUUCUCUGAUGCACUGCAAAUUAAGGCCAAAGAAGAGCUUCUGAGGAGCCACAGAACCCAAGCAAUUCCAAUAAGUUCUCCGAACGUGUACUGAGGAGGAAGAGAUGCAGUUCAGUGUAACUGAAGGGUGUGCCCACUGUCAUCUUGCAGCUGCAAGCUUUCAGUUAGGCAGGCUGCCUUCCUGGAGACUUAUGUGGCUUCAAAUUUGAGCUGAUUGAGAGAAAUGGCUAUGACUGAGGACCACUUACGGAUCAUGGCAAUCAAACAUGUGAGCUGGACCCAGGAUAUCCUGAGGCUAAAGGAAAGAAUUCCUGAGAAAUUUGCCUUGGAGUGAUUAAAAUACAAUGUUUGCAGACAAUUACUUUCUCACUGAAAAGGUAGGUUUACUGGUAACAGAGCUUGACAGGCACUUGCUUUUGCCAGUGAUUAUGAACCUGCAACAUAUGGCCAGAUGUACUCACUUUGCGUUCACUUGCUGCAAUGAUUGAAAAAUUAAUUCUGAAAUCCAAAGACCUGCAACUGACAGUUUGCUAAUGAUGAGUGAUGUGGCUAUACCAAAUUGUCUAAAAAAAUAUUUAUUGAAUUCUGGUCUUCUGAUUUAUGUCUUUAUGUCUACUGAAAUACUGCUUUUUACAGUGUCACUGUGUAUAUUGCCAAAGUGAUUCUGGUCCUGUUCAAUGAAGCUGUGUUUUUAUGUUUUUAAUUAAUGUAAAUUGUAUUAUAUCAUAUUGGAAUUUACACAGGAGGGACUAAGAGCAAUGUAUUUUGGUUAAAGAUAUUCAGUAUUUAAUCAGACCAUACUAAAAAUAUAUAAAGAACUUCAUUCCCUAAGUUUACAAUCCAGUUGUUAAUCAUCAAAGCUAUUCAGUUUUCUUGGCUUCUUUAUGUUUUUCCAAAGCAACUUUUAAUAUAUCCACUUAUUUUUAAUUUCAGCUCUCUUUUACCAUGUGAGUAGGACAGUGAAUAUGAUCUAAAGUUCUUAUUGCCAUCACAGUGUUAUUACAGGUGUUACUGCUAUCCUAGGUAAGACUCUUGCUUUGAGUAAGAUAGUUUUAUAUACUGAACAGAAAAUAAAAAAAAUAUGAAUAAUGUCUAUGCUUGAACCAUAAUGGAAAUCUGUCAUGCUCUGGUAGUGGAAAAUGAGGACUCUCCCUGACAUGAAUGCACCUAAGAUUAAUGCACUAAAGGUAAGAUUAAUAACCUGAAUUUUUAUGCUGAGAAGGCAAGGUACCACUGUAGCAUCAGCAACUCCUGCCCCAGAUUCCCUAGACAGCUACUGAAGAGUUAUGUCCCCUCCAAACACUGAAAGGAAAGGCAGCAGCAUGAUAGGAACCUGUUUUACAGAAGAGGCCAGGGACACUACCCUGGAUGGCAAUCUGGAGCCUGAGUCAGUAUGAUACCGUUGCAGAGAAGGGAAAACCCCUCCCUGGAAUGAACAGUCUUCUGUUCUAGGGAGCCUUGGCAACACCUGAGCUGGAGCGCUUUGUCCUGUGCAGCAAGUGAGAAUAGGCAGAGCUCUAAGAAAUGUGAUGUAUUGGAUUUGCGUGGCCAGGUUUUGGUAGUGUGGCUACAGAGGUGGCUUCUGUGAGAAUCUGCCAGAAGCUCCCUCCAUGUCCAACAGAGCCAAUGGCAGCUGGCUCCAAGAUGGACCUGCCACUGACUGGCCAAUCAGAAAUGGUGGUAACACCUCUGUGAAAUCAAAUUUAAGAAGAAAAAACAAGUUGUUGAGCAGUCGUAAUUGUGACCAGAGAAGAGCAGGGUGAGAAUAUGUGAGAGGAACAACUGUGCUGAAACUAAGGUCAGUGGAGACGGAGGGGAAGGAGGUGGUCCAGGCACUGGAACUGAGAUCCCCUUGCAGCCAAUGGUGCCCCUGCAGUCCAUGGAGGAUCACAGGGAUGCAGAGAUCCACCACUGAGAAAACCCAUGCUGGAACAGGUGGAUGCCC
Molecule: RNA transcript, 4091 nt
Organism: Corvus hawaiiensis (hawaiian crow)
Lineage: Eukaryota; Metazoa; Chordata; Aves; Passeriformes; Corvidae
Gene: SOCS6
Gene name: suppressor of cytokine signaling 6
Exons: 13
Source: RefSeq, a predicted model, not a curated record